Molecule: ribosomal RNA, 459 nt
Filed under: uncultured bacterium
Lineage: Bacteria
Description: partial 16S ribosomal RNA
Rfam family: Bacterial small subunit ribosomal RNA
Source: RNAcentral
CCUACGGGUGACAGCAGUGAGGAAUAUUGGUCAAUGGUCGGGAGACUGAACCAGCCAAGCCGCGUGAGGGAUGACGGUACAGAGUAUCGUAACCCUCUUUUGUCAGGGGACCAAGUCGGGGACGUGUCCCCGGAUGAGUGUACCUGAAGAAAAAGCAUCGGCUAACUCCGUGCAAGCAGCAGCGGUAAUACGGAGGAUGCGAGCGUUAUCCGGAUUUCUUGGGUUUAAGAGGUGCGCAGGCGGUCUGUAAAGUCAGCGGUCAAAGCCCGGGGAUCACCCCCGGCCCGCCGUUGAAACUGGCAGUCUCGAGUUGGAGAGAAGUAUGCGGAAUGCGCGGUGGAGCGGUGAAAUGCAUAGAUAUCGCGCAGAACUCCGAUUGCGAAGGCAGCAUGCCGGCUCCACACUGACGCUGAGGCACGAAAGCGUGGGUAUCGAACAGGAUUAGAUACCCGGGUAGUC